AGUAAAUGCUUUCCUCAUGGGUUUAUGGUAAACAUUGUCCUAAUCAGAGGAAACUGAACCACCCUCUUGCCCAAAUAUGGUCACCUCUGAGUGAAACUGAAACUCCUGGUAAUUAAAAGGAAGCAUACUUAAAAAAAUAAGCCCUCUUAAGAAAGUCUGGCAUGUUCGCGCACACGCCAAAAACAGCAUUUUGAGCCAUUGCUUAAGGCAGAAUAAGAAGGUAUGUGACUAAUGGCGCAGCAAGCUCUUUGUAGUCCUCCAAUAACAGGUUGUAGUCAUAGUAACAAACCUAACAUUUAGUGAUAACAAUGUUUAGUGUGAUUACAUAUUAGCUUCCCGCUGCAGGGCGGAGCUCCGAAAGCUACUUGAGAACUUGAGCCCUGAGGAACGCUCGUCCUCCAGGUGCCACCGAGACACCUCUAAAGAAUUUUCUUCUUCUUCUCCUUCUUCUUCUUCUUGUGUUUGUUUUCUUCUUCAUCUUCUUUUUAUUUGUUUUGGUUUAUAGAGAUGAAUCCCUGCGCCGACCAUUUGCAUGAGCGUCACAUCAACACAUUGUGAAACCGGCCGAUGACUCACUCUGACGCAGGUCCUUUUCGCAUACCUCCCAUCAUCCUCUCCCUCUCUCCUCCCCCUCUGUCUCUCCACGCGCACGCACACAGACACACACACACACACGUGGACAGAUUUUCUCAGGAGAAUAACUCAGCUCAUGAACACCCACGCCGUUUUGCUGCUCACAGUGGCAGCCCUGCUCAAACAGCCACCCCUCCCCUCCCUGUCCUUCCACCUCCUCCUCCAGUGCAAGUCACUGCUCAUGAUGAUGAUGAUGAUGAUGUGUUGCCGCGGCAACGGCAGGAGGUGGGCGGCUCCACGGGCGGUGGGCGGAAGCCAGCCGCUAAGCGGCGUGGGAGGGAUCUGCCGAGCGCACCCAUCACCCUCAUUUUGAAAGGAGCAGGAAGCCGACUGCUUUUGAGAAGAGCGUGCAUGUGGUUCCCAGAUUUCUAUCUGCAAAUCAUCAAUCUGUCACUUCAUGAAUGGAAAGAGGCUGCUGCUCCUACACCCCUGUCACAGGCAUGGACAACUGGUGGAGAGUGUGGACUGUAACUCAGCUGAAUGGAUAGGAAGCUUAAAAAAAGGGAGAAGCAGAAUAUUUUAACAUAAACUCAGUGACGUUUGCUUCACUCAUUUUCAGUGUGGUCCAGAAUGUUUUGUUUGUGUGUUUGUUUGUUUGUUGGUUAAGCCAUUUAACACUGAACCAAAAACACACACACAAUUUGACAGCUUAAAA
Oreochromis niloticus (Nile tilapia) is the source of this 1288-nucleotide long non-coding RNA. RefSeq lists it as uncharacterized. NCBI's taxonomy places the organism in Eukaryota, Metazoa, Chordata, Actinopteri, Cichliformes, Cichlidae. The record is from RefSeq and is a predicted model, not a curated record. The transcript has 3 exons.